Molecule: ribosomal RNA, 269 nt
Filed under: uncultured bacterium
Lineage: Bacteria
Description: partial 16S ribosomal RNA
Rfam family: Bacterial small subunit ribosomal RNA
Source: RNAcentral
UUUGAUGGCGACCGGCGCACGGGUGAGUAACACGUAUCCAACCUGCCGAUGACUCGGGGAUAGCCUUUCGAAAGAAAGAUUAAUACCCGAUGGCAUAGUUCUUCCCCAUGGUAGAACUAUUAAAGAAUUUCGGUCAUCGAUGGGGAUGCGUUCCAUUAGCUUGUUGGCGGGGUAACGGCCCACCAAGGCAUCGAUGGAUAGGGGUUCUGAGAGGAAGGUCCCCCACAUUGGAACUGAGACACGGUCCAAACUCCUACGGGAGGCAGCAG